GGGGAGUGAAAUAGUACCUGAAACCGCAUGCUUACAAGCAGUCGGAGGGCUUCGGCCUGACGGCGUGCCUUUUGCAUAAUGAGCCGGCUAGUAGAUGUCACAGGCAAGGUUAAAUGAUAAUUGAGCCGAAGCGAAAGCGAGUCUUAAUAGGGCGUUUAGUCUGUGGUAUCUGGACGUGAAACGGGAUGAUCUAGGCAUGGGCAGGAUGAAGCGUGGGUAACACCACGUGGAGGUCCGAACCAGUUAAGGUUGAAAACUUUUUGGAUGACCUGUGCCUAGGGGUGAAAGGCUAAUCAAAUUCCGUGAUAGCUCGUUCUCGCCGAAAUAUCUUUAGGGAUAGCCUCGGAUGGAUCAUUGUGGUGGUAAAGCACUGACUGGGCUAGGGGCCUCACAAGGUUACCGAACUCAAUCAAACUCUGAAUGCCAUAAAUGUAUGUCCGGGAGUCAGACUACGGGUGCUAAGAUUCGUGGUCGAGAGGGAAACAACCCAGAUCAACAGCUAAGGUCCCGAAGUGAUAGUUAAGUGGAAAAGGAAGUGGGGAAGCACUGACAGCCAGGAGGUUUGCUUAGAAGCAGCAAUCCUUUAAAGAAAGCGUAAUAGCUCACUGGUCAAGUAGCCCUGCACCGACAAUAUAACGGGGCUUAAACUAUCCACCGAAGCUUUGAAUGAAUUUAUUCAUGGUAGGCGAGCAUUCUGUAACUGUGAAGCGGUUCCGUAAGGUCCGUUGGAGUGAUCAGAAAAGACUUUGUCGGCAUUAGUAGCGAUAACGUAUGUGAGAACCAUACGCACCGAAAACCUAAGGUUUCCUGCGUCAAGUUAAUCUGCGCAGGGUUAGUCUGUACCUAAGGCGAGGCCGAAAGGCGUAGUCGAUGGAGAUCCGGUUAAUAUUCCGGAACCAUGGGUAUGUGAUGUGGGUUGACGCAACAGGGUAGGCAAGACGGCUGAUGGAUGCCGUUGAAGUAAAUAGGCCGUCGCUUAGGCAAAUCCGGGCGACAUCAGGCUAAAUACACGGACGAAAGUACGGACCUUCGGGUCCGGAACAAGUUGCUGACCCCAGUUGCCAAGAAAAUUCCCGUUCAUCUAUACAUAUUCCACUGGCAGUACCGCAAACCGACACAGGUAGGUAGGAUGAGAAUUCUAAGGUGCUUGUGAGAACCCUCGUUCAGGAACUCGGCAAAAUGUAUCCGUAACUUCGGGAGAAGGAUAGCCGUGUUCACCAAGAACACGGUCGCAGAGAAAUGUUCCAGGCGACUGUUUAACAAAAACACAGGUCUCCGCAAAGUUGUAAAGACAACGUAUGGGGGCUGACGCCUGCCCAAUGCUGGAAGGUUAAGAGGAGCGGUUAGCCGCAAGGCGAAGCUGCGAAUCGAAGCCCCAGUGAAUGGCGGCCGUAACUAUAACGGUCCUAAGGUAGCGAAAUUCCUUGUCGGGUAAGUUCCGACCUGCACGAAUGGCGUAACGAUCUGGAAGCUGUCUUAACGAGGGACACAGCGAACUUGUAGUACCGGUGAAGAUGCCGGUUUCCCGCAUCUAGACGGAAAGACCCCGUGCACCUUGACUACAACUUGAUAGUGAUUUCGGGCAAACGAUGCGCAGGAUAGGUGGGAGGCUUCGAACUCGUCCUUUCGGGGGCGGGGGAGCCAACGGUGAGAUACCACCCUUCGUUUGUUUGGACUCUAACCUCGGACCGUAAUCCGGUUCAGGGACAUUAUCAGGCGGGUAGUUUGACUGGGGCGGUCGCCUCCUAAAGAGUAACGGAGGCGCGCGAAGGUUCCC
RNAcentral lists this ribosomal RNA (1777 nucleotides) under soil metagenome. Its description in RNAcentral is "bacterial LSU rRNA". It matches the Rfam family "Bacterial large subunit ribosomal RNA", at positions 533 to 2321 of the family's 2925-position model. The record is from RNAcentral.